Molecule: ribosomal RNA, 597 nt
Filed under: uncultured bacterium
Lineage: Bacteria
Description: bacterial SSU rRNA
Rfam family: Bacterial small subunit ribosomal RNA
Source: RNAcentral
CCUACGGGAGGCAGCAGUGGGGAAUAUUGGACAAUGGGCGAAAGCCUGAUCCAGCAAUGCCGCGUGAGUGAUGAAGGCCUUCGGGUCGUAAAGCUCUUUUACCAGGGAUGAUAAUGACAGUACCUGGAGAAUAAGCUCCGGCUAACUCCGUGCCAGCAGCCGCGGUAAUACGGAGGGAGCUAGCGUUGUUCGGAAUUACUGGGCGUAAAGAGUACGUAGGCGGUUAUUCAAGUCAGAGGUGAAAGCCCGGGGCUCAACCCCGGAACUGCCUUUGAAACUAGAUAACUAGAGUCUUGGAGAGGUUAGUGGAAUUCCGAGUGUAGAGGUGAAAUUCGUAGAUAUUCGGAAGAACACCAGUGGCGAAGGCGACUAACUGGACAAGUACUGACGCUGAGGUACGAAAGCGUGGGGAGCAAACAGGAUUAGAUACCCUGGUAGUCCACGCCGUAAACGAUGAUAACUAGUUGUUCGGUCACUUGGUGACUGAGUGACGCAGCUAACGCAUUAAGUUAUCCGCCUGGGGAGUACGGUCGCAAGNUUAAAACCNCAAUGAAUUGACGGCUGAGACGUGCCGACGACGACGACGAGGGAGGUAGG